Molecule: transfer RNA, 67 nt
Filed under: Scolytinae sp. BMNH 1039994
Lineage: Eukaryota; Metazoa; Arthropoda; Insecta; Coleoptera; Curculionidae
Description: tRNA-Phe
Source: RNAcentral
ACUUAAGUAGCUUAUUUAUAGAGCAUAGUAUUGAAGAUACUAAGGAAGAUGGCUUAUCUCUUAAGUA